UUAAUUAUAGCUAAAAUUUAAGCAAUAUCACUGUUAAUGAUAAGAUAAGUGAAGACUUUGAUUAAG
Molecule: transfer RNA, 66 nt
Filed under: Balanus balanus
Lineage: Eukaryota; Metazoa; Arthropoda; Thecostraca; Balanomorpha; Balanidae
Description: tRNA-Asn
Source: RNAcentral